GGAUGCGAUCAUACCAGCACUAAAGCACCGGAUCCCAUCAGAACUCUGAAGUUAAGCGUGCUUGGGCGAGAGUAGUACUAGGAUGGGUGACCUCCAGGAUGGGUGAUCUCCUGGGAAGUCCUCGUGUUGCAUUCC
This 135-nucleotide ribosomal RNA is filed under the name Hordeum vulgare subsp. vulgare (domesticated barley). The record is from RNAcentral. Lineage: Eukaryota; Viridiplantae; Streptophyta; Magnoliopsida; Poales; Poaceae.